Oncorhynchus mykiss (rainbow trout) is the source of this 308-nucleotide non-coding RNA. NCBI's taxonomy places the organism in Eukaryota, Metazoa, Chordata, Actinopteri, Salmoniformes, Salmonidae. The record is from RefSeq and is a predicted model, not a curated record.
CUGGCAGAAUUUUGAAUCCAGUUGGUACUUCCUGUCUGAUGAUACUAAAACCUGGAAGGAGAGCAGAGAGGACUGUCUGGAGAGAGGAGCAGACCUGGUGAUCGUAAACAGUGAUAAGGAACAGGAGUUUCUCUUCAACCUCAACAAGGGAGUCUGGAUUGGUCUGACUGACUCUGUUACUGAGGGGAACUUGAUAUGGGUGGAUGGCACCCCACUGACCACCCCAAGGUACUGGCAUAAACCACAGCCUGAUAAUGGUGCUGGCAGACUAGACUAUGGUGAGGAGGACUGUGUUGAGAUACGUACAG